GACGAACGCUGGCGGCGUGCUUAACACGUGCAAGUCGAACGGAAAGGCCCUGCUUUUGUGGGGUGCUCGAGUGGCGAACGGGUGAGUAACACGUGAGUAACCUGCCCUUGACUUUGGGAUAACUUCAGGAAACUGGGGCUAAUACCGGAUAGGAGCUCCUGCUGCAUGGUGGGGGUUGGAAAGUUUCGGCGGUUGGGGAUGGACUCGCGGCUUAUCAGCUUGUUGGUGGGGUAGUGGCUUACCAAGGCUUUGACGGGUAGCCGGCCUGAGAGGGUGACCGGCCACAUUGGGACUGAGAUACGGCCCAGACUCCUACGGGAGGCAGCAGUGGGGAAUAUUGCACAAUGGGCGGAAGCCUGAUGCAGCAACGCCGCGUGCAGGAUGACGGCCUUCGGGUUGUAAACCGCUUUCGCCUGUGACGAAGCGUGAGUGACGGUAAUGGGUAAAGAAGCACCGGCUAACUACGUG
This 468-nucleotide ribosomal RNA is filed under the name uncultured bacterium. RNAcentral describes it as "partial 16S ribosomal RNA". It matches the Rfam family "Bacterial small subunit ribosomal RNA", at positions 28 to 507 of the family's 1533-position model. The record is from RNAcentral.